UAAGGCGAUAAGAAUCAGGUGUUCUUCU
Molecule: small RNA, 28 nt
Filed under: Bombyx mori (domestic silkworm)
Lineage: Eukaryota; Metazoa; Arthropoda; Insecta; Lepidoptera; Bombycidae
Description: piRNA piR-bmo-1850544
Source: RNAcentral